GAUGAACGCUGGCGGCGUGCCUAAUACAUGCAAGUCGAGCGAACAGACGCGGAGCUUGCUCCUCUGACGUUAGCGGCGGACGGGUGAGUAACAUGUGUAUCACCUACCUAUAUGACUGGGAUAACUUCGGGAAACCGGAGCUAAUACCGGAUAAUAUAUUGAACCGCAUGGUUCAAUAGUGAAAGACGGUUUUGCUGUCUCUUAUAGAUGGAUCCGCGCCGCAUUAGCUAGUUGGUAGGGUAACGGCUUACCAAGGCUACGAUGCGUAGCCGACGUGAGAGGGGGGUCGGCCGCACUGGAGCGGAGACACGGUCCAGACGCCUGCGGGAGGCAGCAGUAGGGUAUCGUCCGCAGUAGGCGGGAGCCUGGCGGAACAGCGGGGCGUGAGAUGUGGAAAUGUUCGGAUCGUGAAACUCUGUUAUGAGUGAUGAACAAAUGUGUAAGGAACUGAGCACGUCUUGACGGUACCGAGUAAAGAAGCCACGGCUAACUACGUG
Molecule: ribosomal RNA, 497 nt
Filed under: uncultured bacterium
Lineage: Bacteria
Description: partial 16S ribosomal RNA
Rfam family: Bacterial small subunit ribosomal RNA
Source: RNAcentral